Long non-coding RNA from Anopheles funestus (African malaria mosquito), 1219 nucleotides. RefSeq lists it as uncharacterized. The record is from RefSeq and is a predicted model, not a curated record. The transcript is spliced from 3 exons. Lineage: Eukaryota; Metazoa; Arthropoda; Insecta; Diptera; Culicidae.
CUUGGCUAAUGUGUCCCGGCUAAUGUGUCUUGGCUAAUGUGUCUUGGCUAAGGUGUCUUGGCUAAGGUGUCUUGGCUAAGGUGUCUUGGCUAAGGUGUCUUGGCUAAGGUGUCUUGGCUAAGGUGUCUUGGCUAAUGUGUCUCGGCUAAUGUGUCUUGGCUAAUGUGUCUUGGCUAAGGUGUCUUGGCUAAUGUGUCUUGGCUAAGGUGUCUUGGCUAAGGUGUCUUGGCUAAGGUGUCUUGGCUAAUGUGUCUCGGCUAAUGUGUCUUGGCUAAGGUGUCUUGGCUAAGGUGUCUUGGCUAAGGUGUCUCGGCUAAUGUGUCUUGGCUAAUGUGUCUUGGCUAAGGUGUCUUGGCUAAGGUGUCUUGGCUAAGGUGUCUUGGCUAAGGUGUCUUGGCUAAUGUGUCUCGGCUAAUGUGUUUUGGCUAAUGUGUCUUGGCUAAUGUGUCUUGGCUAAGGUGUCUUGGCUAAUGUGUUUUGGCUAAUGUGUCUUGGCUAAUGUGUCUUGGCUAAGGUGUCUUGGCUAAGGUGUCUUGGCUAAUGUGUCUUGGCUAAUGUGUCUUGGCUAAGGUGUCUUGGCUAAUGUGUCUUGGCUAAGGUGUCUUGGCUAAUGUGUCUCGGCUAAUGUGUCUUGGCUAAUGUGUCUUGGCUAAGGUGUCUUGGCUAAUGUGUCUUGGCUAAGGUGUCUUGGCUAAUGUGUCUUGGCUAAUGUGUCUUGGCUAAGGUGUCUUGGCUAAUGUGUCUUGGCUAAUGUGUCUUGGCUAAUGUGUCUUGGCUAAGGUGUCUUGGCUAAGGUGUCUUGGCUUAGGUGUCUUGGCUAAGGUGUCUUGGCUAAUGUGUCUUGGCUAAGGUGUCUUGGCUAAGGUGUCUUGGCUAAGGUGUCUUGGCUAAGGUGUCUUGGCUAAUGUGUCUCGGCUAAUGUGUCUUUACUAAUGUGUCUUGGCUAAGGUGUCUUGGCUAAGGUGUCUUGGCUAAGGUGUCUUUGCUAAUGUGUCUUGGCUAAGGUGUCUUGGCUAAUGUGUCUCGGCUAAUGUGUCUUGGCUAAUGUGUCUUGGCUAAGGUGUCUUGGCUAAUGUGUCUUUACUAAUGUGUCUUGGCUAAGGUGUCUUGGCUAAGGUGUCUUGGCUAAGGUGUCUUGGCUAAUGUGUCUUGGCUAAGGUGUCUUGGCUAAUGUGUCUCGGCUAAUGUGUCUUGGCUAAUAUGCCUUGGCUAAGGUGUC